This 295-nucleotide unclassified non-coding RNA is filed under the name Agaricostilbales sp. Its description in RNAcentral is "partial contains 5.8S ribosomal RNA, internal transcribed spacer 2, and large subunit ribosomal RNA". The record is from RNAcentral. Lineage: Eukaryota; Fungi; Basidiomycota; Agaricostilbomycetes; Agaricostilbales.
CGCAUCUUGCGCUCUUGGGUUAUUCCUAAGAGCAUGCUUGUUUGAGUAACAGAAAAGCUCAACCCCGUUCUCUUGAUUGAGAACAGAAGGGUUAGGAUCGUGGCAAGUAUGUGAUUAAUUUCACUUUGCCGAAAGACAAGCGGCCGAACUUUGAGUUGUGCGCUGACACUAUUGUUGUAAUAUUUUCUCAAUAGCUAGCACUUUUCUUAUCAGUAGGCUUUGAAAACUACAAGUCGCAAGACUUAAUAUUUUAUUGCUUGUUCUCAAAUCAAGUAGGACUACCCGCUGAACUUAA